RNAcentral lists this long non-coding RNA (270 nucleotides) under Malus domestica (apple). RNAcentral's name for it is "long non-coding RNA (MDOM_LNC011842)". Lineage: Eukaryota; Viridiplantae; Streptophyta; Magnoliopsida; Rosales; Rosaceae. The record is from RNAcentral.
UGGAGAGCAAUUUAUUCUACCCCACAAGAGAGAGAAAGUUAGAGGAUAUUUGUUCCCCCUCCUCUAUCAAUCUUCUACAUCUUGCCCGUGCAAAGGACCGUCUUUCGUUGAUUUCUUCAUCUUCUCCGUGCUGCACCGAUGUAAGAAAAAUUUAAUUUUUCUUGCCUUCUUCUUGGAUUAGUGCUAUUGCGGGGCAGCCGUCGGGGUGGUGCAGUACGUCGGCUGGCAGGGGUCAGGAGUUGGCUCGGCAUGGGCCGAGGAGAUGUCGUG